RNAcentral lists this ribosomal RNA (496 nucleotides) under uncultured bacterium. Its description in RNAcentral is "partial 16S ribosomal RNA". It matches the Rfam family "Bacterial small subunit ribosomal RNA", at positions 28 to 506 of the family's 1533-position model. The record is from RNAcentral.
GAUGAACGCUGGCGGCGUGCCUAAUACAUGCAAGUCGAGCGAACAGAUGAGGAGCUUGCUCCUCUGACGUUAGCGGCGGACGGGUGAGUAACACGUGGAUAACCUACCUAUAAGACUGGGAUAACUUCGGGAAACCGGAGCUAAUACCGGAUAAUAUAUUGAACCGCAUGGUUCAAUAGUGAAAGACGGUUUUGCUGUCACUUAUAGAUGGAUCCGCGCCGCAUUAGCUAGUUGGUAAGGUAACGGCUUACCAAGGCAACGAUGCGUAGCCGACCUGAGAGGGUGAUCGGCCACACUGGAACUGAGACACGGUCCAGACUCCUACGGGAGGCAGCAGUAGGUAAUCUUCCGCAAUGGGCGAAAGCCUGACGGAGCAACGCCGCGUGAGUGAUGAAGGUCUUCGGAUCGUAAAACUCUGUUAUUAGGGAAGAACAAAUGUGUAAGUAACUAUGCACGUCUUGACGGUACCUAAGCAGAAAGCCACGGCUAACUACGG